CCAGACUCCUACGGGAGGCAGCAGUGGGGAAUAUUGCACAAUGGGGGAAACCCUGAUGCAGCGACGCCGCGUGAGUGAAGAAGUAUUUCGGUAUGUAAAGCUCUAUCAGCAGGGAAGAAAAUGACGGUACCUGACUAAGAAGCCCCGGCUGACUACGUGCCAGCAGCCGCGGUAAUACGUAGGGGGCAAGCGUUAUCCGGAUUUACUGGGUGUAAAGGGAGCGUAGACGGCAUGGCAAGUCAGAUGUGAAAGCCCGGGGCUCACCCCCGGCGAGCCGUUGAAACUGGCUGUCUUGAGAUGUCGAGAGGUAUGCGGAAUGCGCAGUGUAGCGGUGAAAUGCUUAGAUAUUGCGCAGAACUCCGAUUGCGAAGGCAGCAUACCGGCGGCGAUCUGACGCUGAGGCACGAAAGCGUGGGUAUCGAACAGGAUUAGAUACCCCCGUACAC
This 446-nucleotide ribosomal RNA is filed under the name uncultured bacterium. Its description in RNAcentral is "bacterial SSU rRNA". It matches the Rfam family "Bacterial small subunit ribosomal RNA", at positions 331 to 795 of the family's 1533-position model. The record is from RNAcentral.